GACGAACGCUGGCGGCGUGCUUAACACAUGCAAGUCGAGCGGUAAGGCUCCUUCGGGAGUACACGAGCGGCGAACGGGUGAGUAACACGUGAGUAACCUGCCCCAUUCAUCGGAAUAACCAGUGGAAACGCUGGCUAAUGCCGAAUACGACCACCGAAGGCAUCUUCUGGUGGUGGAAAGCUCCGGCGGAGUGGGAUGGACUCGCGGCCUAUCAGCUUGUUGGUGAGGUAACGGCUAACCAAGGCGACGACGGGUAGCCGGCCUGCGAGGGUGACCGGCCACACUGGGACGGAGACACGGCCCAGACUCCUACGGGAGGCAGCAGUGGGGAAUAUUGGACAAUGGGCGAAAGCCUGAUCCAGCAACGCCGCGUGAGGGAUGACGGCCUUCGGGUUGUAAACCUCUUUCAGCAGGGACGAAGCGAAAGUGACGGUACCUGCAGAAGAAGGACCGGCCAACUACGUG
RNAcentral lists this ribosomal RNA (465 nucleotides) under uncultured bacterium. Its description in RNAcentral is "partial 16S ribosomal RNA". It matches the Rfam family "Bacterial small subunit ribosomal RNA", at positions 28 to 507 of the family's 1533-position model. The record is from RNAcentral.